RNAcentral lists this ribosomal RNA (443 nucleotides) under uncultured bacterium. RNAcentral describes it as "partial 16S ribosomal RNA". It matches the Rfam family "Bacterial small subunit ribosomal RNA", at positions 338 to 795 of the family's 1533-position model. The record is from RNAcentral.
CCUACGGGGGGCAGCAGUGGGGAAUAUUUGGCAAUGGGCGCAAGCCUGACCCAGCAACGCCGCGUGAAGGAAGAAGGCUUUCGGGUUGUAAACUUCUUUUCUCAGGGACGAAUCAAGUGACGGUACCUGAGGAAUAAGCCACGGCUAACUACGUGCCAGCAGCCGCGGUAAUACGUAGGUGGCAAGCGUUAUCCGGAUUUACUGGGUGUAAAGGGCGUGUAGGCGGGACUGCAAGUCAGAUGUGAAAAUGACGGGCUCAACCUGUGGCCUGCAUUUGAAACUGUAGUUCUUGAGUACUGGAGAGGCAGACGGAAUGCCUAGUGUAGCGGUGAAAUGCGUAGAUAUUAGGAGGAACACCAGUGGCGAAGGCGGGCUGCUGGACAGCAACUGACGCUGAGGCGCGAAAGCGUAGGGAGCAAACAGGAUUAGAUACCCUGGUAGUC